GAUGAAGAACGCAGCGAAAUGCGAUACUUGGUGUGAAUUGCAGAAUCCCGUGAACCAUCGAGUCUUUGAACGCAAGUUGCGCCCGAAGCCAUUAGGCCGAGGGCACGCCUGCCUGGGUGUCACACGUCGUUGCCCCCCCAUCUACUCCUUCGGGAUUGCGGGGGGCGGAUGAUGGCCUCCCGUGCGCCUCGUCGCGCGGUUGGCAUAAAUGCCAAGUCCUCGGCGACGCACGCCACGACAAUCGGGGGUUGCGAAACCUCGGUUGCCCGUCGUGUGCGGUCGUCGCGCAUCGAGGGCUCGAAAAAAUUGCCGGGCUCCGGCUCGGCUUUCAACGCGACCCCAGGUCAGGCGGGGUUACCCGCUGAAUUUAAGCAUAUCAAUAAGCGGAGGA
Molecule: unclassified non-coding RNA, 391 nt
Filed under: soil metagenome
Description: partial contains 5.8S ribosomal RNA, internal transcribed spacer 2, and large subunit ribosomal RNA
Rfam family: 5.8S ribosomal RNA (bases 1-122)
Source: RNAcentral